AGAGUUUGAUCAUGGCUCAGAGCGAACGCUGGCGGCAUGCCUAACACAUGCAAGUCGCACGGGUCGGGGGUAACUCCGGUCAGUGGCGGACGGGUGAGUAACGCGUGGGAAUCUGUCUCCGGGUGGGGGAUAACGAUGGGAAACUAUCGCUAAUACCGCAUGAAGCCUGAGGGCCAAAGGCGCAAGCCGCCUGGAGAGGAGCCCGCGUUCGAUUAGCUUGUUGGCGGGGUAACGGCCCACCAAGACGACGAUCGAUAGCUGGUCUGAGAGGAUGAUCAGCCACACUGGGACUGAGACACGGCCCAGACUCCUACGGGAGGCAGCAGUGGGGAAUAUUGGACAAUGGGCGCAAGCCUGAUCCAGCAAUGCCGCGUGAGUGAAGAAGGUCUUCGGAUUGUAAAGCUCUUUCGGCGGGGACGAUGAUGACGGUACCCGCAGAAGAAGCCCCGGCUAACUUCGUGCCAGCAGCCGCGGUAAUACGAAGGGGGCUAGCGUUGCUCGGAAUGACUGGGCGUAAAGGGCGCGUAGGCGGUGGACACGGUCAGGCGUGAAAUUCCCGGGCUCAACCUGGGGGCUGCGCUUGAUACAUGUUCGCUGGAGUUCGGAAGAGGGUCGUGGAAUUCCCAGUGUAGAGGUGAAAUUCGUAGAUAUUGGGAAGAACACCGGUGGCGAAGGCGGCGACCUGGUCCGAUACUGACGCUGAGGCGCGAAAGCGUGGGGAGCAAACAGGAUUAGAUACCCUGGUAGUCCACGCCGUAAACGAUGUGCGCUGGAUGUUGGGCGGUCUGACCGUUCAGUGUCGUAGCCAACGCGAUAAGCGCACCGCCUGGGGAGUACGGCCGCAAGGUUGAAACUCAAAG
This 860-nucleotide ribosomal RNA is filed under the name uncultured bacterium. RNAcentral describes it as "bacterial SSU rRNA". It matches the Rfam family "Bacterial small subunit ribosomal RNA", at positions 8 to 906 of the family's 1533-position model. The record is from RNAcentral.